This 253-nucleotide ribosomal RNA is filed under the name uncultured bacterium. Its description in RNAcentral is "partial 16S ribosomal RNA". It matches the Rfam family "Bacterial small subunit ribosomal RNA", at positions 524 to 776 of the family's 1533-position model. The record is from RNAcentral.
UACGUAGGCAGCGAGCGUUGUUCGGAGUUACUGGGCGUAAAGCGUGCGUAGGCGGUUUUGUAAGUUUGGUGUGAAAUCUCCCGGCUCAACUGGGAGGGUGCGCCGAAAACUGCAAGGCUGGAGUGUGGGAGAGGUAGGCGGAAUUCCUGGUGUAGCGGUGAAAUGCGUAGAUAUCAGGAGGAACACCUGUGGUGUAGGCGGCUUACUGGACCAUGACUGACGCUGAGGCACGAAAGCGUGGGGAGCAAACAGG